Molecule: ribosomal RNA, 482 nt
Filed under: uncultured bacterium
Lineage: Bacteria
Description: partial 16S ribosomal RNA
Rfam family: Bacterial small subunit ribosomal RNA
Source: RNAcentral
AUUGAACGCUGGCGGCAUGCCUUACACAUGCAAGUCGAACGGUAACAGGUCUUCUGCUGCUGACUUGUGGCGCACGGGGGAGUAAUACAUCUAAACGUGCCCCAUCUUGUGGGGUAACGCAUCCAAAACUGUGCUAAUACCCCAUAAGAUCUACGGAUGAAAACAUGGGACCUCAACGCCUUGCGCGCCCUGAGCGGCCGCUUGCGGAUUAGGUAGUUGGUGGGAUAAAAGCUUACCAAGGCGACGAUCUGUAUCUGGUCUGAGAGGAUGACCAGCCACACUGGGACUGAGACACGGCCCAGACUCCUACGGGAGGCAGCAGUGGGGAAUUUUGGACAAUGGGCGAAAGCCUGAUCCAGCCAUGCCGCGUGUAGGAUGAAGGCCUUCGGGUUGUAAAGUGCUUUUGUACGGAAGGAAGAGAAUCUGGUUAAUACCUGGGGUCCAUGACGGUACCGUAAGAAUAAGCACCGGCUAACUACGUG